GACUCCCCUCCCUUACCUUGCUUUUUAAAAUGCUUUGCUGAAAUCCAGUGGGAAGUGUUGACUUUUUGAGCAUGAGCUAUCCCAGACUCCAGGCUUGGUGCCCUGCAAUAAAUGCUGCAGUUCUGUUCACCACAACUCAGUUCUCCUUUUUCCACCAGUGUCACCACUGUUGGUCCUAUGAGAGUCACGGCCUUGCUGAGAAGGGGAGAGGAAGUUGAAGCAUAUAUUUUGGAGAAUCUGGAGGGUGGAAGAUUUCAUGUAUUAAAGAGCAAGGCCCACUUGGCAAAAUCCAGGUGUUUUACAACUGAACAGGACAUUAAGCAUUGGAUUAUUCUAUCAAGUUCUAAAUUUAAGACCUCCUUAUUCUCAGAAGAGACAGACCAUUCUUACAAAAUUGGGACUGCUCAGCCCUCCUAUUUUAAUUCAAGAACUGGUGGGUGGUUGUCUCCCAUUACUGAGCAAAUGUGCUGGACUCUGUCAAGACAUAGAAGGACUGGGAAUAGCUGAUAAAGCCUCUGUGAGCAGUUUUCGGGAGGAAAGACUGGGAGGAAAUGUACAAAAUAACAAAGCUGACGUCCCACUGCAAGACCCAGAAGUAGAGUUUCU
This 606-nucleotide long non-coding RNA is filed under the name Capra hircus (goat). RNAcentral describes it as "lncRNA (ENSCHIG00000002540.1)". Lineage: Eukaryota; Metazoa; Chordata; Mammalia; Artiodactyla; Bovidae. The record is from RNAcentral.